UGGCCAAAUCAGAACUCAAACUAGCGUGGCC
This 31-nucleotide non-coding RNA is filed under the name Mus musculus (house mouse). Lineage: Eukaryota; Metazoa; Chordata; Mammalia; Rodentia; Muridae. The record is from RNAcentral.